Molecule: long non-coding RNA, 1108 nt
Filed under: Olea europaea subsp. europaea
Lineage: Eukaryota; Viridiplantae; Streptophyta; Magnoliopsida; Lamiales; Oleaceae
Source: RNAcentral
GCCCGAUCGUAAGCUAAUACUACUAAUGCCAAUAAAAUAAAAAGCAAAGGUACAAAUGCUAGGUCUAGUCACGUGGGGUAAACGAGUGAACAAUGAGGUCGGCUAGUGAAUUUCAAUCCAAUAGAUUAAGACUAAAUUGUUAAAAUAUUAGCAACACAAAGAAUUAUUGAUGCAAUUCUAAAAUACAGUAAUAGUGUCACUAAAAUGAGUAGGAUCAGAGACUCUCUGAGUUCAGUUGGCCCGAGUCGUCCUAGCGUCGAAUGCCUCCACUUUCUGAACUGUUAAGCGCUGAGAUGCCAAGAUAGAAAAUUCCGUAUUCGUCGAGGAACUAAUGUACCUAUAAAAAAUGUCAGGAAAUACCCAAAAAUUCUCGAUUUUUUUUUAAACUCUUUUUUUUUUUUUGAACUCUCUUUUUUUUUUUGACUCUUUUUUUUUUCAACUCUCUUUUUUUUUUUAAUAAGGAUACAAAUCAAAUAAUGUAAAUGCAAUAACAAGGACUAAUUGAGAUCCAAAAUAAAAUAAGAGUACUGAAACACAAACAAACGUUAAAAUGACCAUCGGUUUCCAGCCUUCGACUCACUGCGACCUCCGGUUUCCAGAUUUCGAACCACUGCAGCAUAGGCGACGGCGAGGGUGGCUAUUUUCGCGUCUGCUGGUCAUGGUGGCGUCGUCCGUCGUCGCGUCGCUGGUGGUAAAGAGGCGACGGCUGCGCAGGCUUAACUUCUGUUGGUCCAGUGUAUUCCAAGGGUCUUGCUAUUGUGAAAGGGCUGACUUUUUCGAGCUUGAGUUAUCCAUUCCUCCGAUUUCUCCUUAGCUACAGAGAAGAGAAAGGACAUGGGUUCUCGGUUACAAAUUCAGGGGGUGUGGAAUUGUGGUACUUCUGUCAAUUCAACGUUUCUCGAGCUUUAUGACGAUACUGGAGCUAUCGAAGGUUAUACUGGUUGGGCGUUGGCAGUUGCAGAGAGUGACAAUUCCCUAGAGGUAAUUUUUAGGUAUUUUGUUUUUGCAGCAGAUAGAUUGUUUUUGCAGCAGAUAGAUUGUAUAGAUGAAGUGUUACACCUGGUUUAACUCUGAUACCAAUUUGAUGUAGGGUGAAUAAUAACAAGAA